Long non-coding RNA from Camelus dromedarius (Arabian camel), 687 nucleotides. RefSeq lists it as uncharacterized. The transcript has 3 exons. The record is from RefSeq and is a predicted model, not a curated record. Lineage: Eukaryota; Metazoa; Chordata; Mammalia; Artiodactyla; Camelidae.
GCAGAUUUUAUUUUCACAUUUUACAGAUGAAGAAACUAAGAAUGUGAGACCUAAAAGAACUUGCCCAAGAUGACAAGGGAAAUAAGCAGCAGAACUAGCCAGGGCUCAAAUCCAAAUUUUCUGGCUCCAAAGCACAUGUGCACUGGAAUAUAUGUAAGAAGACUGAACUGUCUCUGAAGGAAUAUAGUAUCAUCCAGAGCCUCUACAGUGUUUCACGCUCACUGUCCAGCAAUCACUAAAGUGCCUGGAAGUUAUAACCAGCUUCCCCCAAGGAAGAUCAUAGCCAACACCUGAUUGCUAUAAGAGGAGUAGAAUUCCUGCAAAAUCUCCAGUCUCUUGCUUCCAGUUGCAGACAUCCUUCACAGACAGAUCAGCAAAAGACCAGAAAGAAUCAGUGUAACAGGAAAUAAACGAGAAAUUCAAAGAUCAUGACCUGUAAUACCUUUUUAACUACUACCUUACCAUCUGACCUUCUGCUAGUAGCUCAUCCUUGCAUACCUCCUUUCUAUAGUUUGUAAAAAUGGGAAUGACAACAGUGUGGUUACCCCCCAAAGGGAUUGGGUAGAAAAAACGGGCACAGGGGCUGUAAAAUACCUUGCAGGCCAUAAAAUGCUACAUAAAUGCUUGGAAACAAAACAAGAGCCCCAUGGUUUAAUAUAAAACUAGUUUUUCAGCUAAACUAAGUAC